This is a long non-coding RNA of Carassius auratus (goldfish), 1237 nucleotides long. RefSeq lists it as uncharacterized. The record is from RefSeq and is a predicted model, not a curated record. The transcript is spliced from 4 exons. Lineage: Eukaryota; Metazoa; Chordata; Actinopteri; Cypriniformes; Cyprinidae.
GUGUGUGUGUGUGUGUGUUUGUUUAUAUUACAUAGUGGGGUCCACAACACGUUAGCACACUCACAUAGUGGGGACCGAAAACAUAGUGGGGACCAAAUCCCCGGUCCCCACAAUGUUUUGCUUUUAAUCGGCUCAGGAGGCGGUGCUGAUAUGACUAGUGCAGUUUUUUUCUUGAUCCCCUCCAUGAACAAAAACCGGAUUUCUGUGUGUGAGUGUGUGGGGCCGCGCUGCUCUACAGCGCCCCUGUAGCCAGGUCGCGGAACUGCACCUCUAUACACACAUGUGACGUAAUAUAUGAAGGUACACAUUUUUUAAACCGCUCAUGCCAAAGUCGCUUAAUUAAACGACAAAAACAACUUUAAACAGUGUCUGUCAACGGGGAAAGUACAUUCUUUCAGGUAAUUAACCUACUUGUAAAUAUUAUAUUACAUAAUUCAAUAAAUAUACAUCACAAAUUCGAAUUAUUUUUAAGAAUGUUUAUGUGAUGGAGUUUUUUAAUGAGAUUAAUUAAUUAACGUUAAAGUUUUUAUCAGAAUCAUAAUCUUUGAAUAAGGCGAAUGAAUUAUUGCUUAACUUAAAUUUAAUGCUGUUAUACAAUUUAAAGUGUUUACUUGUGCGUGUUACUGCGUAUUGUAAAGUGUUAUAAACUGCGGUGUGGCGGGAGAUUGUGAGACCGCGUGACCUCUCUCAAUUACUGGAACCCGAGGAGCGACGUGAGACGGCCUGUUGAAAUGAAACGGAGAAGAAUAAAACCGUUAAAAGAAGCGGAAGAUCAUGUUCUCCGUUGCAUCGACAAGACCGAUGCACUGGAGGCCAAACACAUAAACGAUUAUAAAGGUCGUGGAGUCUUUGCCUUAAUUCCUUUUAUUAAAGGAGAUUUUGUUGUCGAAUAUAGGGGAGAAAUGAUUAGCUUAAUUGAAGCCGAACAAAGAAGAGAGGCCAAUCAAGACACUUUUUUAUGUUUGACUUCAUCUGGCAGAACAAGAAAUGGAGCAUUGAUGCAACUCAUGAGGAUGGCACCCUUGGCCGCCUUAUAAAUGAUGAUCACAUAAACCCAAAUUGUACAAUGAAAAGGAUUAUCGUUGAGGGAAAACCCUGUUUGUGCCUAUUCGCUGCAAGAGAUAUCAUUCCUGGAGAGGAACUCACAUAUGACUAUGGAGGAAGUCACUGGCCUUGGAGAAAGCCUCCAUGCAAGGAUGAUGACAACAUGACAGCAAUAGAGAACUGCUCUGAGGAU